RNAcentral lists this long non-coding RNA (1060 nucleotides) under Octopus sinensis (East Asian common octopus). RNAcentral describes it as "uncharacterized LOC115215582, transcript variant X7". The record is from RNAcentral. Lineage: Eukaryota; Metazoa; Mollusca; Cephalopoda; Octopoda; Octopodidae.
GGUACCAUGAAUAUACACAUACCACAAAUACGUAUGGAAAAUGUAGCUGAAAAUAUAAGAUCACCUUUACUGUGUCGCGAUACGAAGAUAUGGCUAAAAAUAAAGAAGCACAUAAACAUUCAAGUUGAGAGAAGUUGAUGAAAACUUCGAACUUCAGACCUUAUUACGAGGUAAUUUCUGUAGUAAUUUGGUAAAAAAUUAAACUUGCUGUUUACAGCUUAUAUAUAUAUUCAUUAUAUGGCUGGAAAUUUGACCAAUGAGGAACGGAAAUGGAUCCUCAAACAGUACUGGAAAACCGGGAAUGCAGAGCUGGUUAGACAGAAAUGGACUGAAGAAUUUCAAAGACCAGCUCCAUCAAGAUUAACAGUAUAUAGAAUACGUAAUAAAUUUGAGCAGACUGGGUCUGUCUGCAAUGCGCAGAAACGCGGUCGACCAGUCAGUGUUACCACUGAAGAAAAUAAGAUUCUUGUGGCUCAAGCAUUUACCCAAAGCCCCCAGAAAUCAAAAAAGAGUACUUCCAAUGAACUAGGCAUCUCUCGCAGAUCCCUUGGUCGACUUAUGAAUCGAUUACCUAAAAAAGAAAUAGAGAAAUGAAAAGAAUAUUCUACUUAUUAACCAACUUUGUGCCUACUUUUGCUCACACUCAUGUAUGUGUGCAUGUAUAUAUAUGUAUAUAUAUGUAUGUGGUGACAUGUAGGUAUAUUCUUUAUAAAUAUUUGUACUGCAGUGUGUUGUGUGAAGAUAACCUGGCCACUGUGAAAUUCUGUCCAUGUGGAUAUAACUGGAUAUGGGAGGAAUAUUCCAAAAUUAAGCUUAAAGGAUCCUCAAGUAUGAACAGCCUGUAACUAACAAAAGUGAAUUUGUCUUAUUUUGCAGCUAGUUCUAGCUUGGAGAGACAAUGGUUAUCCGAGUAGCAAACCAAAGUUUCCUACUUGAAUAAAGACAAGAUUUAGUGACUAUCUCUGAAAACAAACAGGACAGUCACACAUGGAACACCUCUGGUCAUAAGUCUGUCAAUUUUUUUCUCUUGAUGCAUUUGAAUGAUUUGCGGUAUAUAUCU